AGUUGCAAAUGGUGGAAGGAUCGAUUCAAGAGAGAAGAGGAGAAGAAGAGAGAAGCUGAUGUGCAACCGAAUGUUGGAGAGAGAAGAUUCCUCUCCCUAUUUGAUUUACUAACAUGAAGUGAGAAUUACAAACACCUCCCUAGGGAGGUAAAAG
Molecule: long non-coding RNA, 154 nt
Organism: Telopea speciosissima
Lineage: Eukaryota; Viridiplantae; Streptophyta; Magnoliopsida; Proteales; Proteaceae
Exons: 2
Source: RefSeq, a predicted model, not a curated record